Molecule: ribosomal RNA, 468 nt
Filed under: uncultured bacterium
Lineage: Bacteria
Description: partial 16S ribosomal RNA
Rfam family: Bacterial small subunit ribosomal RNA
Source: RNAcentral
GACGAACGCUGGCGGCGUGCUUAACGCAUGCAAGUCGAACGGAAAGGCCCUGCUUUUGUGGGGUGCUCGAGUGGCGAACGGGUGAGUAACACGUGAGUAACCUGCCCUUGACUUUGGGAUAACUUCAGGAAACUGGGGCUAAUACCGGAUAGGAGCUCCUGCUGCAUGGUGGGGGUUGGAAAGUUUCGGCGGUUGGGGAUGGACUCGCGGCUUAUCAGCUUGUUGGUGGGGUAGUGGCUUACCAAGGCUUUGACGGGUAGCCGGCCUGAGAGGGUGACCGGCCAGAUUGGGACUGAGAUACGGCCCAGACUCCUACGGGAGGCAGCAGUGGGGAAUAUUGCACAAUGGGCGGAAGCCUGAUGCAGCAACGCCGCGUGCGGGAUGACGGCCUUCGGGUUGUAAACCGCUUUCGCCUGUGACGAAGCGUGAGUGACGGUAAUGGGUAAAGAAGCACCGGCUAACUACGUG